AUACGUAGGGGGCGAGCGUUGUCCGGAAUGAUUGGGCGUAAAGGGCGCGUAGGCGGCCCGGUAAGUCUGGAGUGAAAGUCCUGUUUUUAAGAUGGGAAUUGCUUUGGAUACUGUCGGGCUUGAGUGCAGGAGAGGUAAGUGGAAUUCCCAGUGUAGCGGUGAAAUGCGUAGAGAUUGGGAGGAACACCAGUGGCGAAGGCGACUUACUGGACUGUAACUGACGCUGAGGCGCGAAAGUGUGGGGAGCAAACAAGAUUAGAUACCCUGGUAGUCCACACUGUAAACGAUGAAUGCUAGGUGUAGGGGGUAUCGACCCCUUCUGUGCCGCAGUCAACACAAUAAGCAUUCCGCCUGGGGAGUACGGCCGCAAGGUUGAAACUCAAAUGAAUUGGCGGGG
Molecule: ribosomal RNA, 397 nt
Filed under: uncultured bacterium
Lineage: Bacteria
Description: partial 16S ribosomal RNA
Rfam family: Bacterial small subunit ribosomal RNA
Source: RNAcentral